CGCGUAGGCGGGCAUCCAAGUCUGUGGUGAAAUCCGGCAGCUUAACUGUCGAAUUGCCAUGGAUACUGGGUGUCUCGAGGGAGGCAGGGGUGCGCGGAACUAAUGGUGGAGCGGUGAAAUGCGUUGAUAUCAUUAGGAACUCCGGUGGCGAAGGCGGCGCACUGGUCCUUUUCUGACGCUGAGGCGCGAAAGCCAGGGGAGCAAACGGGAUUAGAUACCCCGGUAGUCCUGGCCCUAAACGUUGGGUACUAGAUAGUAGGGUUCACAUGGCUUUACUGUCGAAGCAAAAGUGCUAAGUACCCCGCCUGGGGAGUAUGGUCGCAAGGCUGAA
Molecule: ribosomal RNA, 331 nt
Filed under: uncultured Zavarzinella sp.
Lineage: Bacteria; Pseudomonadati; Planctomycetota; Planctomycetia; Gemmatales; Gemmataceae
Description: bacterial SSU rRNA
Rfam family: Bacterial small subunit ribosomal RNA
Source: RNAcentral